RNAcentral lists this unclassified non-coding RNA (1773 nucleotides) under Hevea brasiliensis (rubber tree). Lineage: Eukaryota; Viridiplantae; Streptophyta; Magnoliopsida; Malpighiales; Euphorbiaceae. The record is from RNAcentral.
GGCGUGGCCCUUUAUUUUUUAAAAUACAGUUCGAACCGAUUUAAGGGGAUUGAAAUAGGUCUCCUAAACAAGGUUCAGGGUCGGUUUAAGCCCAUAAAUUAUUGACCAGGGCCGGGCAGAACUGGCCUAAUCCGGUUCAAGCCUAAAUGACCCGUGGGCAGUUCUACUUGUACGCACGUCUUGCUUUCGACCACACCCGUCUUUACCCAAGGAAGAGCUAAUGAGCAAUGGGCACCCUGGCCUCUGGUUUUGGAACUUCGGUGUUCGGCGAUUACCUGUUUGACAAUAUUCCCAUAAGAAAUCUGCCUUGCUUUGAACCUCUUGGCUAACUUCUACUUUCUAGCUACUGAUUAUCAGAAGUUUCCUUUUGUUAAAGAUGGUAAUCAGUGUAACAAAAGUGUGCAGUUCUCGAGUUCCUUUUCCUCAUUUUCUCCUCCAGAUAGCUUUAUUGCGCUCAAUUUCUUCACUUGAACAUAACAUCAAAGCUAAAGUAGAAGCCAAGGCCUAUCAAGAGAUUCCUGACCUUCUUCAAUCCUACGGAGAAGAAUCUUUCGAAAAUCCUAAUCCUUUCUCCUUCCUCUCCACCUUCCCUUUGAAUCUCAGAACUCAGGUGGUUGACGAAAUUUUACAAUCUUUUAUCCCUUUGAGACCCCGUUCUCGCCCCCAUCUUGUCUAUUCGUGUCUCCUUUCUUGCACCCUUCAAAGUCCCAAUCCUCUCCCUCUUGCUCUGGCCAUUCUCCAGCGCACUCUUCGUUCUGGGUGUUCGCCUGCCCCCCAAACACGUCUUCUUCUCUCCUCUGCUUGGUUUGAUCGAAGACGGCAAUCUCAGACUGUAGCUAAUAUUCUACAGGAGAUGGAAUCUAUUGGGUAUAAUCCAGACUCUGGUAUUUGUAAUUAUCUCGUGUCUUCUCUUUGUGCUGUUGAACAGCUGCCGGAGGCAGUGAAGGUCCUGAAGUGUAUGGGUAGGGCGGGAUGUGUUCCUGAUUUGGAAGGUUACGGCUUUGUAAUUGGCUCAAUGUGCACAGCCAGAAGAACUGCUGAUGCAGUAGAGCUGUUGAAGGAAAUGGUGGUCAAAAUUGGAUUGAACCCAAGGCAUGGAACCGUGGUGAAAGUAGCAGCGGCAUUGCGGGCAAAUAGAGAGAUAUGGGCAGCAGUUGAGAUGAUUGAAUUCUUGGAGAAGGAAGGCUGCCCUGUCGGAUUUGAGAGCUAUGAGCUGGUGCUUGAGGGGUGUUUGGAGUGCAAAGAAUAUCUUUUGGCUGGAAAAGUGGUGAUGAGAAUGACAGAGAAAGGGUUUAUACCUUAUAUCAAGGCCAGACAAAAGGUGGUAGAGGGGCUUGCUGGUGCCGGUGAAUGGAAGCUUGCUUGUGCUGUAAGGCAAAGGUUCACUGAAUUGAGUUCAUAGUUUUUAUGGGAGUGCAUUGUGAUAUCUGCUGGUGAGAAGCAAAUGAGUUCACACAUGUAGUGGCUAAUAUGGUUUGUUUAUUUUUCCUUUUUAAUUCCCCUAGCUGCAAGAUAUUCUAUUGUCUAGUGACGACUAAUCCACGGUGGUAUUUUUUCUCAUGCCGUGGCCAAGAGGAUGAUGGAUUUGAAAUCCAUGGUGCGUGUUGAAACAAGUGUACAGGUUUAUGCUUUCUAAAUUUGUUAUAUGUUGUUUGUUGCAUUAUAGCAUAUUUGUUGGAGAAUCAUGCCAAUUUUUCAUUAUAUUACAUAUAUAUAAGAUCAACUUUGUUGGAAUUGGAAGCGUUCAAUAUGUAAGGCUAUUUUAGUUUUCAC